AUCAACUCUGAGAUGCAGGUACAUCCAGCUGACGAGUUCCAAAUAGGACGAAACGCGCGUCCUGGAUUCCACU
This 73-nucleotide transfer RNA is filed under the name Schistosoma mansoni. The record is from RNAcentral. Lineage: Eukaryota; Metazoa; Platyhelminthes; Trematoda; Strigeidida; Schistosomatidae.